GUUAAAAGCUAGGGCUAGGACUUGGAGGAUGUGUAGGCAAACGGAAGGAGAGCCGAGGGAAGAAAAACCGAAAUGGAUUCAUUCUCUGUCCUGGAUGGAGGAGGAGAGGAGAAGAGAAGGGGACGUGCGAGCUUCCUUCAACUGCCUCUGUCCGGUGAAAAGUGCUCAGACCCCCGGGGCUGAGCGGGGCUCAAGAGUCCGCGCGGACUUUCGUUUUAGGCUGCCAAUCAAACCGCUAACUAGCCACCACCCUGCUCUGGCACCGACAU
This is a long non-coding RNA of Eurypyga helias (sunbittern), 269 nucleotides long. It matches the Rfam family "SOX2 overlapping transcript exon 3". From Rfam's summary of the family: SOX2 overlapping transcript (SOX2OT) is a long non-coding RNA, containing at least 5 exons. The SOX2 gene, an important regulator of neurogenesis, lies within one of the introns of SOX2OT. SOX2OT and SOX2DOT (an isoform of SOXOT transcribed from a distal highly conserved element) are expressed in zones of neurogenesis within the brain. Lineage: Eukaryota; Metazoa; Chordata; Aves; Eurypygiformes; Eurypygidae. The record is from Rfam.